Molecule: ribosomal RNA, 307 nt
Filed under: uncultured bacterium
Lineage: Bacteria
Description: bacterial SSU rRNA
Rfam family: Bacterial small subunit ribosomal RNA
Source: RNAcentral
ACUGAAUAGAUACCCGGGUAGUCCACGCCGCAAACGAUGAUAACUAGCUGUCCGGGUUCAUGGAAAUUCGGGUGGCGCAGCUAACGCAUUAAGUUAUCCGCCUGGGGAGUACGGUCGCAAGAUUAAAACUCAAAGGAAUUGACGGGGGCGUGCACAAGCGGUGGAGCAUGUGGUUUAAUUCGAAGCAACGCGCAGAACCUUACCAACGUUUGUACAUCCUCAUCGCGAUUUCCUACGAGAUGGAUUUCUUCAGUUCGGCUGGAUGAGUGACAGGUGCUGCAUGGCUGUCGUCAGCUCGUGUCGUGAG